Molecule: ribosomal RNA, 467 nt
Filed under: uncultured bacterium
Lineage: Bacteria
Description: partial 16S ribosomal RNA
Rfam family: Bacterial small subunit ribosomal RNA
Source: RNAcentral
GACGAACGCUGGCGGCGUGCUUAACACAUGCAAGUCGAACGGAAAGGCCUCUUUUGGGGGGUACUCGAGUGGCGAACGGGUGAGUAACACGUGAGUAACCUGCCCUUGACUUUGGGAUAACUUCAGGAAACUGGGGCUAAUACCGGAUAGGAGCUCCUGCUGCAUGGUGGGGGUUGGAAAGUUUCGGCGGUUGGGGAUGGACUCGCGGCUUAUCAGCUUGUUGGUGGGGUAGUGGCUUACCAAGGCUUUGACGGGUAGCCGGCCUGAGAGGGUGACCGGCCACAUUGGGACUGAGAUACGGCCCAGACUCCUACGGGAGGCAGCAGUGGGGAAUAUUGCACAAGGGGUGGAAGCCUGAUGUAGCAACGCCGUGUGCGGGAUGACGGCCUUCGGGUUGUAAACCGCUUUCGCUCAUGACGAAGCUUUGUGUGACGGUAGUGGGUAAAGAAGCACCGGCUAACUACGUG